AAAACAUUUGCAUUUAAAUGUUUAUUCUGGUUCAAUGCACUUCAAUUGUAACCGAUUUAGUGUAAAGGACUACUUCUUUUUAAAUAUUGAUGCACUAAAAUAUUUUCUGUGGUAAUUAGGAACACGCUCAAGGAUUAGGUCUAAUUUUGACUUGAGACUCAACCAUUAUGCAUGUCAAAAAGAAACUAAAGACAACCUGUUGAUUUUAGGAAAUAAACAAGAAACUGAACCCAAGUAACAGGUUAAACUUCCAGACAGGGCAUCUAUGAAUUUCAUGAUUUUUUUAGUAAUUCAUAGCUACUGAAAAUUAAUUGACUGCACACAAAGAGGCACCGAAAUACUUUAGAGUCGAGCGUAACAAGAAAUACGUAUAUUAUAGGCAUUUCCAAAUCAUAAUUGUAAAACUCCCUGAAACUUCCAGGUUUUCCAUAACCGUGGGAAUCUGCAAUGUGCGUAAACAUUUGCACAACCCUGCUUUGUGCAUUACAGGCAAAAGCGUGCAGAACAGCCCACACAAGAGGCUGUUUGAUUUAUUCAUCUACUGCAAUAAAAAAAAAGUACGACUCCACUGGUUCAUCAUUUCCAUAUAUUAUAAUACAGAUGCAGAAUUGAAAGUUUAUUCUUUAAACAGCCUAAUAUUUUACAAAGAAACGGAUAACUGUCUGUAACUUUCAAACAUGUCCUUAAAACAGGACACUGUUGAUUGCAUUUCCUCGAGUCCUACGUUGUUAUCGACGUCCGUCAACAUAGGGGGCAGCAAAGCGGGAGAGGAGAGAAGGGAAGAAAAUGGAAAACACUAAAAGAAUGAGGGGAGGAACGAAUAAAUUAAAAAAGGAAAUUGUAAUGGGAUAAUACAUAAUUUUUUUCCUCUGCACUCCUUUUAUUCACACUUAAAGAAACAUCAGUCGGGAGAUGAGCAUGAUCAUGAGCAGACGCUCCAUCUCAGUGGAGCGACACGGUGAAAUCGGUUGACUCCUCUCUCCUGCAGAAGCAAGGCUCUCUCUUCCUUUUCUCAAGGCAUUGCUUUUUUGGUUCUUUUCGUGGCCGUGGGGCAGCGCUGUUAUUGCAACUGUGGUUUCCUCUGGAUUAGGGAGGAAGAAAAACUUGCUGCCCCGAAUCUACUCCAAAGCAAAGAAUUGAGGAUAAAAAAAAAAAAA
Sinocyclocheilus anshuiensis is the source of this 1157-nucleotide long non-coding RNA. RefSeq lists it as uncharacterized. The record is from RefSeq and is a predicted model, not a curated record. The transcript is spliced from 2 exons. Lineage: Eukaryota; Metazoa; Chordata; Actinopteri; Cypriniformes; Cyprinidae.